Cricetulus griseus (Chinese hamster) is the source of this 118-nucleotide ribosomal RNA. NCBI's taxonomy places the organism in Eukaryota, Metazoa, Chordata, Mammalia, Rodentia, Cricetidae. The record is from Ensembl.
GUCUGUGGCCAUACCACCCUGAACCUGUCCUGUCUCUGAUGUUGGGAACUAUGCAGGGCCGAGCCUAGUUAGUACUUGGAUGAGAGAUCCACAUCAAACAGAUGGGCCGAAAUAAAGG